GAUAACCCUUGAUCGAUGGAUUUCACUGCCGAAUUCACUGGAUCGACGGAUUUCACCUGCGAAUCCACAUCUCAGGGUUUUUUCUCCGGCUAUGACCCUAGAUCGAUGGUUUUUUCUGUCGAAUCCACAUCUCAGGGUUUCUUUCUCCAGCGAUGACCCUUGAGCGAUGGAUUUCACCGGCGUUUUCAAAUCUCAGGUAACAUCUUUUUUACCUCUCGGCAUUUUUGGUUUGAAAUUUGACUUGGAUCUGUUAAAUUUUAGGGUUUAUUUCUCCGGCGAUAACCCUAGAGAUAGAUGGAUUUCACCGGCGUUUUCACAUCUCAGGUUUAGUUUUAAAUCUACUUGUUGUUUAUCGUCUGUGAAUAAGUUUGGAUCUGGUUUCGUUUGCGAUCUAAGUAAGGUGUUUGGUUUUGUGUUGAAUAUGCUAUUUGUUAAAGAGGAAAAUUUAGUAUGUGAAUUAAGCAAGUCAUUGUAGUUGAUUGUUUAAUGUUGAUAUGGAGAUUAGGAAUAAAAACAGGGGUGCAGUUUUGAGUUUUAUAUAAUCACCUAUUUGUUGUGACGUGCUGUUGUAACUACCUUGUAAAUAUGCUUGCAUGUUUUCCCAGCCAAGAAUAAGUGUUACCAUAAGUGAAGAAUUUGAUGUGUCAAUCAGUCAAUUUGGGUAUUAUAUAAUGUGCGAUUGAUUGUGUUCUGUAUACAUGUAUAAGUUGUGUGUUUUUUUU
RNAcentral lists this long non-coding RNA (722 nucleotides) under Helianthus annuus (common sunflower). The record is from RNAcentral. Lineage: Eukaryota; Viridiplantae; Streptophyta; Magnoliopsida; Asterales; Asteraceae.